UGCAAUUGCAUAAAUAAUUUUGUCAGAUUAAUGGAACUUCAAAGUUAAAAUAAUUUCACCAAAACAUAAUUUGUCAACACCAAAAUAUGCAACAUGCCAAGGGUUCAUUCUUCCCCAAGAGCAUAAUUUAAAUCGAAGGCAAGACUUUUGCAAGAUGGUUAAGCACAAAAUAUUACUACUAGAAAGUUCAAUUACACAAAAAGUGGGAGGAGUUUAAGAAACUAUGGGAAUAAAAUGAGAGAUACUCUAGGUAUUACUUGAUCAGGGUAGUUUUUAUUGGACAUAAAUG
This 289-nucleotide unclassified non-coding RNA is filed under the name Hevea brasiliensis (rubber tree). Lineage: Eukaryota; Viridiplantae; Streptophyta; Magnoliopsida; Malpighiales; Euphorbiaceae. The record is from RNAcentral.